CAGGGAACGGGGCCACGCGCUGCUCAGGAGGAGGGCGGCUCCGCAACGGCAGCUUCAGCCCCGGACACCGGGAGGGAACGCAAGGGCCCCACGGGGCCCCGCAGCCUCAGGAGAUGGGGACGGAGAGGGCUCCAGUGAGGCUCAGGGCGCCCCUCUUUCACAGAGCUCCAACGCUCCCCUGUGCCGGAUCUGAGCCGGGAAAGAUUCAGAUGACCUCACCGAGGCCGCACAUGAGGCUCCAAGCUGAAUCAGAAAGUGUGCUGAGGUUUUGUGCCCGUUUAAUCCUGUGGGGUGGAGACACUGUUUUGGAGUGGGGCUGAGCGUCACCAGAGUAACAUUUCUGGGGCAGAAAUCAG
RNAcentral lists this long non-coding RNA (356 nucleotides) under Chinchilla lanigera (long-tailed chinchilla). Its description in RNAcentral is "lncRNA (ENSCLAG00000025627.1)". Lineage: Eukaryota; Metazoa; Chordata; Mammalia; Rodentia; Chinchillidae. The record is from RNAcentral.